This 55-nucleotide transfer RNA is filed under the name Bigelowiella sp. RCC560. Its description in RNAcentral is "partial tRNA". The record is from RNAcentral. Lineage: Eukaryota; Cercozoa; Chlorarachniophyceae.
GAUAUCUUGCUCCGCUGUAAUGCUCGCCGCCCUCAUGUACGCUGCGUACGAGAUU